AAGUACUAGAGGUCCCGCCUGCCCUGUGACCACAAAGUUUAACGGCCGCGGUAUCCUGACCGUGCGAAGGUAGCGUAAUCAUUUGUCUUUUAAAUAGAGACCUGUAUGAAUGGCAUAACGAGGGUUUAACUGUCUCCUUCCCCUAGUCAAUGAAAUUGAUCUGCCCGUGCAGAAGCGGACAUAAACACAUAAGACGAGAAGACCCUAUGGAGCUUUAGACAAAAGAUCAAACAUGUAAAGAAACCAAACCAACCAAAAGGAACACGAAGGCCACAAAACCCAACGUAAACUGAUCUAAAUGUCUUCGGUUGGGGCGACCAUGGGGGAAAGAAAAGCCCCCACGAGGAACAGGGACAACCCCUAAACUAAGAGAGACACCUCUAAGCAACAGAAAAUCUGACCAAAAUGACCCAGGAUACUAAUCCUGAUCAACGAACCAAGUUACCCUAGGGAUAACAGCGCAAUCCUUUCCCAGAGUCC
Molecule: ribosomal RNA, 480 nt
Filed under: Anguilla anguilla (European eel)
Lineage: Eukaryota; Metazoa; Chordata; Actinopteri; Anguilliformes; Anguillidae
Description: partial large subunit ribosomal RNA
Rfam family: Bacterial large subunit ribosomal RNA
Source: RNAcentral